AGCAGCCGCGGUAAUUCCAGCUCCAAUAGCGUAUAUUAAAGUUGUUGCAGUUAAAAAGCUCGUAGUUGAAUUUCGGGAUCAAUACGUCGGUCGUGCUUCGGUACGUACUGGCGUCAUUGGUUUCUCCCUUCUGACGAACCACGAUGUCAUUAACUUGGUGUCAUGGGAAAUCAGGACUGUCACUUUGAAAAAAUUAGAGUGUUUAAAGCAGGCUCACGCUUGAAUACAUUAGCAUGGAAUAAUGAAAUAGGACGUUUGAUUCUAUUUUGUUGGUUUCUAGGAUCGACGUAAUGAUUAAUAGGGAUAGUUGGGGGCAUUAGUAUUCAAUUGUCAGAGGUGAAAUUCUUGGAUUUAUUGAAGACUAACUACUGCGAAAGCACUUGCCAAGGAUGUUUUCAUUAAUCAAGAACGAAAGUUAGGGGAUCGAAGACGAUCAGAUACCGUCGUAGUCUUAACCAUAAACUAUGCCGACUAGGGAUCGGAUGAUGUAAUUUUUAAUGA
This 501-nucleotide ribosomal RNA is filed under the name uncultured Glomus. Its description in RNAcentral is "SSU rRNA". It matches the Rfam family "Eukaryotic small subunit ribosomal RNA", at positions 569 to 1075 of the family's 1831-position model. The record is from RNAcentral. Lineage: Eukaryota; Fungi; Glomeromycota; Glomeromycetes; Glomerales; Glomeraceae.